GUCGAGAGGCUUCGGCAAUGGGGGCAACCCUGACCGAGCGACGCCGCGUGCGGGAUGAAGGCCUUCGGGUUGUAAACCGCUGUCAGGAGGGAAGAAUCCCCCCGGGAUAACACCCCGGGGGUUGACGGUACCUCCAAAGGAAGCUCCGGCUAACUCCGUGCCAGCAGCCGCGGUAAUACGGAGGGAGCGAACGUUGUUCGGAUUCACUGGGCGUAAAGGGCGUGUAGGCGGUCUGGCAAGUCGGGGGUGAAAUGCCGCGGCUCAACCGUGGAAUUGCCUUCGAAACUGCCGGACUUGAGGCCGUGAGAGGAGACUGGAAUUCCCAGUGUAGCGGUGAAAUGCAUAGAUAUUGGGAAGAACACCAGUGGCGAAGGCGAGUCUCUGGCACGGAUCUGACGCUGAGGCGCGAAAGCUAGGGGAGCAAACGGGAUUAGAAACCCGUGUAGUCC
This 449-nucleotide ribosomal RNA is filed under the name uncultured bacterium. RNAcentral describes it as "bacterial SSU rRNA". It matches the Rfam family "Bacterial small subunit ribosomal RNA", at positions 354 to 796 of the family's 1533-position model. The record is from RNAcentral.